This is a long non-coding RNA of Megalobrama amblycephala (Wuchang bream), 656 nucleotides long. RefSeq lists it as uncharacterized. The transcript is spliced from 3 exons. The record is from RefSeq and is a predicted model, not a curated record. Lineage: Eukaryota; Metazoa; Chordata; Actinopteri; Cypriniformes; Xenocyprididae.
CGCGUUCCGCGUCAGUUUGACUGAACAAAUAAUGGCGUCAAUCGGAAGACUAAUUGAAAAACUGUCAGACAGGACAGGAAGUGCCGGAACUCCACUGGACUGGUCUGGGGAUGAAGUAGGAAGAACUUCUACAGACAAGGAAUGUCUGGAAUUUCUUUCUGUUCUCAACAUGACCUUUAGAGGUGCAAGGCAUCGUGUGUAGAACCCAUCGUCCUCCGUUAUAUCUGCACCAUCAUCCUCCGUCCCUCCAUCCCAUCAUCCAGCAGGAUGCAGUGUCUCUUUGAGGACGGAGAUUGAGUUUUUUUAUAUUCUGUCCUCUGUCCAAACUACAUUUCCCACGAUUCUCUUCUCACGAGCGGUCGCGGCGCUCAAAUGAGGCGGGUGGAGGCGCGCAGGGUGUUUUCAGAGUUGUAGUGCAUUGUGUUCUGCUUCUGCCGGUUGAUUCUGUUGGUCCGUGGGCACUUCCUGUGGAGGAAGCAAAAGGAUGUCAUUAUCGUACAUAUAAUUUGCUUCCACCAGGCAGCUCUAUGUUAUUUCUAAUCAGAACAAUGCCUGGAAGGAAAAAACAAAUUUUCCAAAGCUUUUGCUAUAAAAAUAUCUUGUAAUUGUAAAUAUAAAUUGUAAAUUUAUACGUUUAUAAAAGAAUGUUUCAUGCA